Molecule: long non-coding RNA, 1752 nt
Filed under: Homo sapiens (human)
Lineage: Eukaryota; Metazoa; Chordata; Mammalia; Primates; Hominidae
Description: HSALNT0327174
Source: RNAcentral
GGAGGGUGAGGGCUCCAGCAUGGCAGGCUGCAGGUCCCGAGCCCUGCCCCCUUGCCCCGCGGGGAGGUGGCUGAGGCCCAGCGAAAAUUCGAGCGCGGCGCCGGCGGGCCAUCACUGUUGGAGGACCCAGUGCACCCUCCGCAGCUGCUGGCCCGGGUGCUAAGCCUCUCACUGCCCAGGGCCGGCGGCGCCAGCCGACCGCUCAACAGUGCGGGGCGCGCCGAGCCCGCGCCCACCCGGAAGUCGCGCUGAGCCCGCGCCCACCCGGAAGUCGCGCUGGACCUGCGAGCACCGCAGGCAGCCCAGGUUCCGGCCCGCGCCUCUCCCUCCACACCUCCCCGCCAGCAGAGGGAGCCCGCUCAGGCCUCAGCCAGCACAGAGAGGGGCUCCCACGGUGCAGCUGCGGGCUGAAGGGCUCCUCAAGCGCGGCCAGAGUGGGCUGAGGCCGAGGAGGCGCCGAGAGCCAGCGAGGGAUGCCAGCAAGCUGUCACCUCUCAGAAAUACAGGAAGAACAUCAAUAAUGUUCGAAGUUAUAAAGUAUUGCGGAGGUCAGAGGUCAGAAAACAAGGUGUCUGCAGGACCAACCUCUCCUCUGGAUGCUCUAGGAAACGAGUAGAAUUAAGUGAAUUGAUUAUCAUAUCUAACCUAAUGAAUUGGGAGAUAGCCGUGGGCAUUAAAACUGUUUCAAGAAGUGCAACUUAGCGUUCAGGGCUGACCUCAUGAGCUUCCAGAGACAUCAGAGUGUUGAAAUUUCCAGGAUGCAAAACGAAGGGGCAAUUCAAAACAUUCAUCUCCACUUCUCAAAAGUCUUUGAUUACUUGAGAAAAGUGAGUGAGGUGGGGCCAAGAUGGUUGACUAGAAGCAGCUAGUGUGUGCCACUCUCACAAAUAGCAGAAAGAGUGGUGAGACACUAGCUCUUCAACCGGAACAUCCAGGUGGACACAUAAGGAUUCAUCAGUGACAUAGUGUGACCUUCGGAUCACGGAGAAGAGUGAGACAGAUCAGCCAUUCACCCAGGAGUGGCACAGACCCAGGGGAAUCCCCCUACAAGAAAAUGGCCAGGAACCUCCAGAUAUAUUGGAGACCUCAAGAAGAGAGAAAUUCAUGCAGAUUUUUAGAUACUGCAGCCAAAGUCUGAUGUUCGCCCUCCUUUGACUUCUGACCCUUGAAAGGCUUUUAAAAGUCUAAUCUGAGAUUUCUUAUCAAAAGUUCCGUCAAAAUAAACUUAAAAACAGCCCAUGUUUCAUCCCUUUUCUUGCUAUACUGUUGUCAAUAAUCAUGCCAAGUUUAAUGAGACUAAACUUAUUCAGCAGACAAAUUAGUCUUACUCUGAUUAUCUUUAGUAGAAAUAGGGAUGAUUGUACAGAGAAAAAUUAUGUUUCUGAAGAAAAACUGCAGUACACCUGUUAGUAGAUUGUAGUUUUCUUUGUUGUUUUCAAGUUUUUGUCAUCUAUCUCUAAAUUAGACAGGGCACUUAAUUAUUCUAAUUUCCUCCAACGUCUGGCUACGAUUCUCCAACUAAGAACAUAAACUGCCUUGUUCCUAAAGUCCUAUAAGUUGGAGCCAGAAAACUCCAUGUAAAUUUCAAGAGAGAAAUCUCAUGGCUAUUGUGUGGGCUACAAAGAGAAUUGACUAAAAUGCCCCAUGCUAUACCCAGGAACAUUCAAACUACAAACCAGAGUAAGAAGUUGAUGACAUCACAGUGUGGAAAGCUUUUCCCAAGACAUUGUAACAAAACUGGACUCUUAUCCU